Molecule: ribosomal RNA, 403 nt
Filed under: uncultured bacterium
Lineage: Bacteria
Description: bacterial SSU rRNA
Rfam family: Bacterial small subunit ribosomal RNA
Source: RNAcentral
UAGGGAAUAUUGCAAAAUGGGCGAAAGCCCGGUGCAGCAACGCCGUGUGGGCGAUGAAGGCCUUCGGGUCGUAAAGCCCUUUUUGAGGGGAUGAGGAAGGACAGUACCCUCAGAAUAAGCCUCGGCUAACUACGUGCCAGCAGCCGCGGUAAAACGUAGGAGGCGAGCGUUAUCCGGAUUUACUGGGCGUAAAGCGCGUGCAGGCGGAUUGGAGAGUUGGAUGUGAAAGCUCCCGGCUUAACUGGGAGAGGUCGUUCAAUACUUCCAGUCUUGAGUGCAGUAGAGGGAAGUGGAAUUCCGGGUGUAGUGGUGAAAUGCGUAGAUACCCGGAGGAACACCAGUGGCGAAAGCGGCUUCCUGGACUGUAACUGACGCUCAGACGCGAAAGCUAGGGUAGCAAACG